This 534-nucleotide ribosomal RNA is filed under the name uncultured bacterium. Its description in RNAcentral is "bacterial SSU rRNA". It matches the Rfam family "Bacterial small subunit ribosomal RNA", at positions 777 to 1310 of the family's 1533-position model. The record is from RNAcentral.
AAUAGAUACCCCGGUAGUCCAUGCCGUAAACGUUGGGCGCUAGAUGUGGGGACCAUUCCACGGUUUCCGUGUCGCAGCUAACGCAUUAAGCGCCCCGCCUGGGGAGUACGGCCGCAAGGCUAAAACUCAAAGGAAUUGACGGGGGCCCGCACAAGCGGCGGAGCAUGCGGAUUAAUUCGAUGCAACGCGAAGAACCUUACCAAGGCUUGACAUAUACGAGAACGCUCUAGAAAUGGAGAACUCUUUGGACACUCGUAUACAGGUGGUGCAUGGUUGUCGUCAGCUCGUGUCGUGAGAUGUUGGGUUAAGUCCCGCAACGAGCGCAACCCUCGUUCUAUGUUGCCAGCGGUUCGGCCGGGAACUCAUAGGAGACUGCCGGGGUCAACUCGGAGGAAGGUGGGGAUGACGUCAAAUCAUCAUGCCCCUUAUGUCUUGGGCUUCACGCAUGCUACAAUGGCCGGUACAAAGGGCUGCAAUACCGUAAGGUGGAGCGAAUCCCAAAAAGCCGGUCUCAGUUCGGAUUGAGGUCUGCAA